GUGAAUCAUCGAAUCUUUGAACGCAAAUUGCACUCUCUUCGGAGAGUAUGCCUGUUUGAGGUUCAGCCUAAAAAAAAUCGACAUAGUCGUUGUUUCUCGGUGACAUUCGUCGGAAAUUGGUUCUUCUUAAACCUUUUGGUUUUAAGCGGCUUAAAAUUUUCUUUACGAUUCCACGAACGUUUCUAAGAUUUACUUCCUCGUUUAAGGUAUCGUUUAUAUUUAGACGUGG
RNAcentral lists this unclassified non-coding RNA (229 nucleotides) under Glomus sp. RNAcentral's name for it is "partial contains 5.8S ribosomal RNA and internal transcribed spacer 2". The stretch from base 1 to 65 matches the Rfam family "5.8S ribosomal RNA", at positions 84 to 154 of the family's 154-position model. Lineage: Eukaryota; Fungi; Glomeromycota; Glomeromycetes; Glomerales; Glomeraceae. The record is from RNAcentral.